AGAAGAAAGAAAAACAUUAGAAAAGUACCACUGAAGAUUAAGAGAAGAGUUAUAGAGCAACAAUCCAUUAAUACGAACUUGGAUCGUGAAGUCUGUGAAGUCUGAGCAGAGUGUUUCCUGUGGCCUCUGUCAGCGGUUUCCUGCCUGCCAUAAGUACAAGGAACUGUUCAUGGGAUUGUACUCGUGGCUUUGUUUCUGUUGGAAAUGUGUUUUAUUUUCUUUAUAAAAUAAUGGGUAAUCUUUAAAAUUGAUUUUAGAUGGUUUGAGGCAUUACACCACAACAGUAAUGAGCACUAAUGCCAAUGAUAUUGGACACAAAUUCAUUUUAGCUUUAUUUCAUGUCUGAAGCAAUUCUACUGAGCCUUGAACUGCUCACGUGUUGUUAUUAACUUGCUAGUAACUUAACACAUGGGUACAGCAAACAAAAGUGAUCAGAGUCCAGGUUGAUCGGGACCUCAAGGCUACUGUCCUUUUUCUUGAGCUAUAAUUCAAUUUCCAAUUUUACUGUACAUUAGACUCAUUAUUUCCCAGCGUUUUCUUUUUCUGCUCAAUACUGCCAUCUGGAGGACACACAGAUGAAAAGAGAAGGAGCCAGGCUCACCCAGCUCACAAUUCCAAAGAGCCAGAAAGAUGUGGCUGGGGAGGGGACAUCUGAACACUCCCCCAGGCCUAGAGUUCAAACCAGUGAGUCGGCUAGGUACAGUUUUGGUUUUUGGAAUCUCCUCUGUUUCUCUGGCUAAAUUCAUGCCACCAUACUCCAUGAGUUUUAAAUAAGCAAAAAUAAUUUUUAAAUGUAUUUAUAUGCUUAUUUUAGUCAGAUAGUUCAUUCUGAAAUUUAAAAUGAAAAUUUUUGAGAGUGUUUUCCCAUCUGGUUAGGUGAGCAUAAUUAAUUUAUUUUGAGUACUAUUUGGCUUACUAUCAGAGAGGGCUGUGACUGCCACCAUCAUAAUAUUAAAUACUAUUUUUUCCUUAGUC
RNAcentral lists this long non-coding RNA (975 nucleotides) under Homo sapiens (human). Its description in RNAcentral is "SNX10 antisense RNA 1". The record is from RNAcentral. Lineage: Eukaryota; Metazoa; Chordata; Mammalia; Primates; Hominidae.